This 83-nucleotide transfer RNA is filed under the name Leptospirillum ferriphilum. RNAcentral's name for it is "tRNA-Leu". It matches the Rfam family "tRNA". From Rfam's summary of the family: Transfer RNA (tRNA) molecules are approximately 80 nucleotides in length. Their secondary structure includes four short double-helical elements and three loops (D, anti-codon, and T loops). Lineage: Bacteria; Pseudomonadati; Nitrospirota; Nitrospiria; Nitrospirales; Nitrospiraceae. RNAcentral also lists the same sequence under 1 other name. The record is from RNAcentral.
GCGAGAGUGGCGAAAUGGCAGACGCACCAGACUUAGGAUCUGGCGGGGGAAACUCCGUGCGGGUUCGACUCCCGCCUCUCGCA